GCCGAGAUGGCGGAACUGGCAGACGCGCCAGACUUAGGAUCUGGUGGGGAGACCCGUCGGAGUUCAAAUCUCCGUCUCGGCA
Molecule: transfer RNA, 82 nt
Filed under: Elusimicrobia bacterium RIFOXYA1_FULL_47_7
Lineage: Bacteria; Pseudomonadati; Elusimicrobiota
Also listed under: 4 other names
Description: tRNA-Leu
Rfam family: tRNA
About the family: Transfer RNA (tRNA) molecules are approximately 80 nucleotides in length. Their secondary structure includes four short double-helical elements and three loops (D, anti-codon, and T loops).
Source: RNAcentral